This is a long non-coding RNA of Saccostrea cuccullata (small rock oyster), 311 nucleotides long. RefSeq lists it as uncharacterized. The transcript has 3 exons. NCBI's taxonomy places the organism in Eukaryota, Metazoa, Mollusca, Bivalvia, Ostreida, Ostreidae. The record is from RefSeq and is a predicted model, not a curated record.
GGGGGAGAAGCAUGGGGGCCUGAAUGUCUACAUCAGGGUUUUUCCAAUCACGACAAAUAGCACACGGUCGACAGGGAAUGUUUACCACUCCACGACAGCGGAUCCCACCUCUAUGUUUAACUAGAACUCGAGAGCAUGUUCUUGUCUAUCAAAUCAGCUAAGAGACAUACACAGCAUAUGCAGCUGAUCAGUUGAAAGUGGAAAGUUACACAUAUAUAAUAUAGAUAAGGAAAGAGGACUACGGAGAAGUUGAAGUUAUCCUGGUUUAGUUGUUAGUUGGAAAUUAACGUAUAUAGCCAGUAGACAACCAA